RNAcentral lists this unclassified non-coding RNA (1540 nucleotides) under Hevea brasiliensis (rubber tree). Lineage: Eukaryota; Viridiplantae; Streptophyta; Magnoliopsida; Malpighiales; Euphorbiaceae. The record is from RNAcentral.
CGAUUAUGUUUAAAAUUUAUAUGACCAACUUAUAAUCUAUUUUUUAAGAAAUAAAUUAAUAUUGUAUGACUAAUUAAAAUGAAAAGAGAAAGAGAAAAAAGGAAAAGUUGUAUAGUAAAAUUCAUUUUACUCAGACCCCAAUCUUCUUCUUUUACGGGACAAGGAUGAGAGGAGCAAGCUUCACCCUCUUCUUUUACGGGACGAGGACGAGAAAAGCAAUCCCUAACCUCAUCCUGCUCCGUUGUCAUUUCUUUCAAUACAUGCUCCACAACAGCAUCUGUUUCCCUGAAUUUACUGGAGAAAGCAUCUCGAAUGCCUUCUGGUACCAUAUCGUUCCACCAGCUUCCACUCCCUUUAAUUUGUCUUAAUUUUUUUGCGCUGUUGCAAUCCAAUGGAAGGCUUCGUAGGUUCGGGCAAUCAAAUACAGCUAGCUUCACAAGGGAAGGAAAUUGUAGGGCUUGGCAGCAGAUGGACUUGAGCUUUGGUAAGCGUUUCAAAGAUAAUUUCACCAGAUUUUCGAAGACAUUUUGCCUAGAAUCUUCACUUAUUACUUGAACAAUUUCAUUGCAGUCACAUAAUUUCAAAGAUUGAAGGCUCGGGAUAUUUAUGAGGCACGUCACGUUCUUUAUUGGACAGUUGCGGAUCCUCACAAUACAGAGGUUGGGAAAAGAUUGCUGCCUUUUCCUAUAGAUGUGGCCAGGGAAAACUGUGAUCUCAGAACCCUGAUGCUCUUGCUGAUUAUUUUCUUUGAAAAUUUCAAGCUCUGUCAGGGACGAGCACUUCAAUAAUUCAAGCCUCUCCAAAUGCUCCAUUCCUCUUAGAGAGAGUUUUGGUAGACGAUCUGUGCACUGUGCUAGUUGCAGCUGUUUUACGCAUCUUCGCAACUUGUGGGUGUCCAAUACUUUUUGCACGGAACUAGCAUGUGAUAAAAAUAUGCCAAUCUCAUCUAUGUGUUCCAAGGAUUCCAACUCCUUUAGAAGCUCUGCUUGAUCAUCUAGUGGAGAAUUAAGAAGCAACAUCUGAUCAAAUACCCUCCUAAAAGCCUGCAAUGAUGAAAGACUAGAGAUCACGCCCACUGGUAUAUCUAGCUGGAGCGGUGUCCUAUCCAAUAUAAAAAACUGCAACUUCUUCAAAUUUUGAACCUCCACUGGCAAUUUUUUUAUGCAAGUCCCUGACAAAUUUAGAUACCUCAAGUUCCCCAAAUAUCCAAUGCCCACAUGUAGCUCAAUUAAGCCUUUAUUAUCUGACAAGUCCAAAACUCUCAAAGCAGGCAUAGAUUGAAAGAAUUCACUUGGCAGCAUCUCCAAAUUAGUAGCCCUGAGAAGCAAUGUUGUAAGAUGAUGACAAGAAGGUGUCUCACGGGGAGAUUCGAUGCAAGGACCACACAACGAUAUCCUCUCUGCGCUAAUCCAUGUUGAAAGCUGUGGUGUUUUUUCCUGUACCAACACUUUGUCCUUUGCCUUCCCCUCCUCACAAGCUAGCCACAAGGUCAUUGCUUUAAUCACAUCAUGCAUUUUAACAAAAUCUUCUGAUUUACCAG